This is a long non-coding RNA of Centruroides sculpturatus (bark scorpion), 468 nucleotides long. RefSeq lists it as uncharacterized. Lineage: Eukaryota; Metazoa; Arthropoda; Arachnida; Scorpiones; Buthidae. The transcript has 3 exons. The record is from RefSeq and is a predicted model, not a curated record.
CGCGUGCAUGUGUGUGUGUGUGUGUGUCUGUGUGUGUGUCUUGUGUGUGUAGACUGACAUAUAGUCUGCGAAACGUCUGCUGGAAUUACGUCUCUUCGCUUUACUUACGUGUGACGCAAGCAAAUGUUUAUUCAAGAAAUCGUUGACUGGUUCGGAAGAUUUCCAAUAAUUUGUCUCUUAUAAAAAUAAAAAUAAAGUGUUGUGCGGAGUGCAUCACAUUUUCAUUAAGCAAGGAAUGGAAAAUCGUCUCAGCGGUCGUAUCAAAGCAGGAUACGUGUGCAGGUAAUGGAAGGCCAGAUAGACCCGUAAUGAUAGUGGAAAGUAGUGGAAAUUGGUGCCGCUAUUGCUGUGCCAACCGUUCAAGUAUCAGGAAAUGUUUGUUAUUAGUAGUUGCUCUCAGCGUUGUUUCCCUCUUUGUCUUCUCCUAUUAUAUCUCCAGGUUUCAGUUACACAGGUAAGUUAAUGCCA